RNAcentral lists this transfer RNA (83 nucleotides) under Candidatus Portiera aleyrodidarum (primary endosymbiont of Bemisia tabaci). Its description in RNAcentral is "tRNA-Leu". It matches the Rfam family "tRNA". Rfam says of the family: Transfer RNA (tRNA) molecules are approximately 80 nucleotides in length. The record is from RNAcentral. Lineage: Bacteria; Pseudomonadati; Pseudomonadota; Gammaproteobacteria; Johnevansiales (SeqCode); Johnevansiaceae (SeqCode).
GCCCGAAUGGCGAAAUCGGUAGACGCAGGGGACUUAAAAUCCCCCGCCAAAUUGGCAUGCUGGUUCAACUCCAGCUUCGGGUA